AGAAUCAACGCUGGCGGCGUGCCUAACACAUGCAAGUCGAACGAGAAAGAGAUUUCGGUCCUGAGUAUAGUGGCGUACGGGUGAGUAACACGUGAAUCAUCUACCUUCGAGUGGGGAAUAACUAAAGGAACUUUAGCUAAUACCGCAUAAUACCUACGGGUCAAAGUGAGUAAUUGCGCUUGAAGAGGAGUUCGCGGCAGAUUAGUUAGUUGGCGGGGUAAUGGCCCACCAAGACGAUGAUCUGUAUCCGGCCUGAGAGGGCGCACGGACACACUGGAACUGAAACACGGUCCAGACUCCUACGGGAGGCAGCAGUGGGGAAUUUUGCGCAAUGGGGGAAACCCUGACGCAGCAACGCCGCGUGGAGGAUGAAGUAUCUUGGUACGUAAACUCCUUUCGAUGGGGAAGAUAAUGACGGUACCCAUAGAAGAAGCCCGGCUAACUUCGUGCCAGCAGCCGC
RNAcentral lists this ribosomal RNA (460 nucleotides) under uncultured bacterium. RNAcentral's name for it is "SSU rRNA". It matches the Rfam family "Bacterial small subunit ribosomal RNA", at positions 26 to 518 of the family's 1533-position model. The record is from RNAcentral.